UUGAACGCUGGCGGCAGGCUUAACACAUGCAAGUCGAACGGUAACGGGAAGGGAGCUUGCUUUCUUUGCCGACGAGUGGCGGACGGGUGAGUAAUGCUUGGGAAUCUGGCUUAUGGAGGGGGAUAACUACGGGAAACUGUAGCUAAUACCGCGUAAUAUCUAUGGAUUAAAGGGUGGGACUUUCGGGCCACCUGCCAUAAGAUGAGCCCAAGUGGGAUUAGGUAGUUGGUUAGGUAAAGGCUGACCAAGCCGACGAUCUCUAGCUGGUCUGAGAGGAUGACCAGCCACACUGGAACUGAGACACGGUCCAGACUCCUACGGGAGGCAGCAGUGGGGAAUAUUGCACAAUGGGGGGAACCCUGAUGCAGCCAUGCCGCGUGAAUGAAGAAGGCCUUUGGGUUGUAAAGUUCUUUCGGUAGCGAGGAAGGUAUCAAAUUUAAUAGAUUUGGUAAUUGACGUUAACUACAGAAGAAGCACCGGCUAACUCCGUGCCAGCAGCCGCGGUAAUACGGAGGGUGCGAGCGUUAAUCGGAAUAACUGGGCGUAAAGGGCACGCAGGCGGUUGAUUAAGUGAGAUGUGAAAGCCCCGGGCUUAACCUGGGAAUUGCAUUUCAUACUGGUCAACUAGAGUACUUUAGGGAGGGGUAGAAUUCCACGUGUAGCGGUGAAAUGCGUAGAGAUGUGGAGGAAUACCGAAGGCGAAGGCAGCCCUUUGGGAAUGUACUGACGCUCAUGUGCGAAAGCGUGGGGAGCAAACAGGAUUAGAUACCCUGGUAGUCCACGCUGUAAACGCUGUCGAUUUGGGGAUUGGACUGUGAGUCUGGUGCCCGAAGCUAACGUGAUAAAUCGACCGCCUGGGGAGUACGGCCGCAAGGUU
RNAcentral lists this ribosomal RNA (877 nucleotides) under Actinobacillus pleuropneumoniae serovar 8. RNAcentral's name for it is "bacterial SSU rRNA". It matches the Rfam family "Bacterial small subunit ribosomal RNA", at positions 29 to 895 of the family's 1533-position model. The record is from RNAcentral. Lineage: Bacteria; Pseudomonadati; Pseudomonadota; Gammaproteobacteria; Pasteurellales; Pasteurellaceae.